This 301-nucleotide ribosomal RNA is filed under the name uncultured bacterium. Its description in RNAcentral is "partial 16S ribosomal RNA". It matches the Rfam family "Bacterial small subunit ribosomal RNA", at positions 509 to 807 of the family's 1533-position model. The record is from RNAcentral.
CAGCAGCCGCGGUAAUACGAAGGGGGCUAGCGUUGUUCGGAUUUACUGGGCGUAAAGGGCGCGUAGGCGGACUGAUAAGUCAGGGGUGAAAUCCCAAGGCUCAGCCUUGGAACUGCCUUUGAUACUGUUUGUCUUGAGUUCGGGAGAGGUAAGUGGAACUGCGAGUGUAGAGGUGAAAUUCGUAGAUAUUCGCAAGAACACCAGUGGCGAAGGCGGCUUACUGGCUCGAAACUGACGCUGAGGCGCGAAAGCGUGGGGAGCAAACAGGAUUAGAGACCCCAGUAGUCCCUGUCUCUUAUAC